Oreochromis aureus is the source of this 545-nucleotide long non-coding RNA. RefSeq lists it as uncharacterized. The transcript is spliced from 5 exons. Lineage: Eukaryota; Metazoa; Chordata; Actinopteri; Cichliformes; Cichlidae. The record is from RefSeq and is a predicted model, not a curated record.
UCAACUUCAAUAAGCAAUGAAAAUACUUUGAGACUGCCAGCCUCUUUUGAAAUUCCAAGAUUUCCCAAAAAUCUGCAACUAAAACUGGACAACAAAGAACCGUGCCAUAAAAAUCAAGGGACAGACACACAAUAAUCAGAGUUCUAUAUGAAGCUGUGGCACAGUAUACUAUGUAUCCCACAAAUUCUGAAUAUGUGCAAGCUGUGAAGACGCUGGUAAUGAAGUAUCCUUUCCUCAAGGAUCGUGAGGGAAAUGGUUAUGGACCAUGCGUCCAAGGAGAGAUUUAUUAUCCAUAGACGCCCACUUAAAGGUCUUACAGUGCCAAUAUCAGAAGAUGCAACCAGAUACCAUGGUGGUUCAUAACCGUAUGCAGCAAACGUUUGCUUGGCGGCAAAAAGAAAUUGCAGAUGGUAUGCCUGUGGAGGAUGCGUUGAAGAAGUACCCCUUCUUAGGGAUGCCUACUGGUCUGUGCAACGAACUCGGGUGGAUCCAACCAACAACGGGUAAUGUAAGCCAGCGAUUUCGUGAAGGGCUCUCAUGUGUUG